This 497-nucleotide ribosomal RNA is filed under the name uncultured bacterium. RNAcentral describes it as "partial 16S ribosomal RNA". It matches the Rfam family "Bacterial small subunit ribosomal RNA", at positions 28 to 507 of the family's 1533-position model. The record is from RNAcentral.
GACGAACGCUGGCGGCGUGCCUAAUACAUGCAAGUAGAACGCUGAAGCGAGGAGCUUGCUCUUCUUGGAUGAGUUGCGAACGGGUGAGUAACGCGUAGGUAACCUGCCUUGUAGCGGGGGAUAACUAUUGGAAACGAUAGCUAAUACCGCAUAACAAUGGAUGACACAUGUCAUUUAUUUGAAAGGGGCAAUUGCUCCACUACAAGAUGGACCUGCGUUGUAUUAGCUAGUAGGUGAGGUAAUGGCUCACCUAGGCGACGAUACAUAGCCGACCUGAGAGGGUGAUCGGCCACACUGGGACUGAGACACGGCCCAGACUCCUACGGGAGGCAGCAGUAGGGAAUCUUCGGCAAUGGGGGCAACCCUGACCGAGCAACGCCGCGUGAGUGAAGAAGGUUUUCGGAUCGGAAAGCUCUGUUGUAAGUCAAGAACGGGUGUGAGAGUGGAAAGUUCACACUGUGACGGUAGCUGACCAGAAAGGGACGGCUAACUACGUG